RNAcentral lists this unclassified non-coding RNA (214 nucleotides) under uncultured Agaricaceae. Its description in RNAcentral is "sequence contains ITS2". The record is from RNAcentral. Lineage: Eukaryota; Fungi; Basidiomycota; Agaricomycetes; Agaricales; Agaricaceae.
AAUUCUCAAUCCCUCUCUGGCCUUCGUGGUUGGAAUCUGGGACUUGGAAUGUGGAGGAUGUUGCAGGCCCUCUCUGUUUGUGGUCAGCUCCUCUGAAAUGCAUUAGCGGAAUUGUUUGCGAUCCAUCACAGGUGUGAUAAAUAUCUGCGCCUAUGGGUUGCUCUCAUUAUUCAGCUUACAACAGUUUCCCUAAAGGAAACAGUAUUUUGACCUU